CUCCUCUACCCUCUCCUCUCCUCUACCCUCCUCUCCUCUACCCUCUCCUCUCAUUGCGUGUGUCUUCUCAUUACUGCAGUAAUCAUCUUGGUUAGAGUUAAACGGAUGAACCAUCUUCCUGAGGCCACAAAGUUAAGUCACCUAGCUAACCCUCUAGACUGCCCUAAGGCUGUAUCCUAAAGGUUAAGUCAUCUAGCUAACCCUCUAGACUGCCCUAAGGCUGUAUCCUAAAGCUUAAGUCACCUAGCUAACCCUCUAGACUGCUCUAAGGCUUCGUCCUAAAGGUUAAGUCACCUAGCUAACCCUCUCUAGACUGCUCUAAGGCUUCGUCCUAAAGCUUAAUUCACCUAGCUAACCCUCUAGACUGCCCUAAGGCUGUAUCCUAAAGGUUAAGUCACCUAGCUAACCCUCUAGACUGCCCUAAGGCUGUAUCCUAAAGCUUAAGUCACCUAGCUAACCCUCUCUAGACUGCUCUAAGGCUUAGUCCCAAAGGUUAAGUCACCUAGCUAACCCUCUCUAGACUGCUCUAAGGCUUAGUCCCAAAGGUUAAGUCACCUAGCUAACCCUCUCUAGACUGCUCUAAGGCUUCGUCCCAAAGGUUAAGUCACCUAGCUAACCCUCUCUAGACUGCUCUAAGGAUUCGUCCUAAAGGACAGCCUAUUUCCUUUGUGGGGCACUACUGUUCACCGGGGCACAUACUUUUCCCUGGUCAGAAGUAGUGCACUGUGUAGGGAAUAUAGUGCCGUUUGGGAAGCAAAAUAAAUGUCUGAACU
Oncorhynchus tshawytscha (Chinook salmon) is the source of this 773-nucleotide long non-coding RNA. The record is from Ensembl. Lineage: Eukaryota; Metazoa; Chordata; Actinopteri; Salmoniformes; Salmonidae.